GGCGUGGUAGCUCAGCUGGUUACCCCGAAAGCUUUCGGGGUGAUUCAUAAUCCAAAGGUCGGCGGUUCAAGCCCGCCCCACGCUA
Molecule: transfer RNA, 85 nt
Filed under: Bacteroidota bacterium
Lineage: Bacteria; Pseudomonadati; Bacteroidota
Description: Bacteroidetes bacterium tRNA-Met
Rfam family: tRNA
About the family: Transfer RNA (tRNA) molecules are approximately 80 nucleotides in length.
Source: RNAcentral